GACGAACGCUGGCGGCGUGCUUAACACAUGCAAGUCGAACGGAAAGGCCCUGCUUUUGUGGGGUGCUCGAGUGGCGAACGGGUGAGUAACACGUGAGUAACCUGCCCUUGACUUUGGGAUAACUUCAGGAAACUGGGGCUAAUACCGGAUAGGAGCUCCUGCUGCAUGGUGGGGGUUGGAAAGUUUCGGCGGUUGGGGAUGGACUCGCGGCUUAUCAGCUUGUUGGUGGGGUAGUGGCUUACCAAGGCUUUGACGGGUAGCCGGCCUGAGAGGGUGACCGGACACAUUGGGACUGAGGUACGGCCCAGACUCCUACGGGAGGCAGCAGUGGGGAAUAUGGCACAAUGGGCGGAAGCCUGGUGCAGCAGCGCCGCGUGCGGGAUGACGGCCUUCGGGUUGUGAACCGCUUUGGCCUGUGACGAAGCGUGAGUGACGGUAAUGAGUAAAGAAGCACCGGCUAACUACGUG
This 468-nucleotide ribosomal RNA is filed under the name uncultured bacterium. Its description in RNAcentral is "partial 16S ribosomal RNA". It matches the Rfam family "Bacterial small subunit ribosomal RNA", at positions 28 to 507 of the family's 1533-position model. The record is from RNAcentral.